Molecule: ribosomal RNA, 442 nt
Filed under: uncultured bacterium
Lineage: Bacteria
Description: partial 16S ribosomal RNA
Rfam family: Bacterial small subunit ribosomal RNA
Source: RNAcentral
CCUACGGGUGACAGCAGUAGGGAAUCUUUCACAAUGGGCGAAAGCCUGAUGGAGCAACGCCGCGUGCAGGAUGAAGGCCUUCGGGUUGUAAACUGCUUUUAUAAGCGAGAAAUAUGAUGGUAACUUAUGAAUAAGGAUCGGCUAACUACGUGCCAGCAGCCGCGGUCAUACGUAGGAUCCGAGCAUUAUCCGGAGUGACUGGGGGUAAAGAGUUGCGUAGGUGGCAUAAUAAGUAGCUAGUGAAAUCUGGUGGCUCAACCAUUCAGACUAUUAGCUAAACUGUUAAGCUCGAGACCGUGAGGGGUAACUGGAAUUUCUAGUGUAGGAGUGAAAUCCGUAGAUAUUAGAAGGAACACCAAUAGCGUAGGCAGGUUGCUGGGACGGUUCUGACACUAAGGCACGAAAGCGUAGGGAGCAAACGGGAUUAGAUACCCGAGUAGUC